GCGGAAGGAUCAUUACUGAACUGUCGACACGAGCUGUUGCUGGUCCUCAAUGAGGGGGCAUGUGCACGCUCUGUUUACACAUCCACUCACACCUGUGCACCCUCUGUAGUUCUACAUGGUCUGGGGGACACGCUGUCUCCCUUGUGUAGCUCUACGUCUUUACACAUACACCGUAGCAAAGUCUUAUGGAAUGUGCACCGCGUUUAACGCAAUACAAUACAACUUUCAGCAACGGAUCUCUUGGCUCUCGCAUCGAUGAAGAACGCAGCGAAAUGCGAUAAGUAAUGUGAAUUGCAGAAUUCAGUGAAUCAUCGAAUCUUUGAACGCACCUUGCGCCCCUUGGCUAUUCCGAGGGGCAUGCCUGUUUGAGUAUCAUGAACACCUCAACUCUCAUGGUUCGCCGUGAUGAGCUUGGACUUCUGGAGGUUUUGCUGGCCUUUGGUCGGCUCCUCUCAAACGGAUCAGCUUGCCAGUGUUUGGUGGCGUCAUGGGUGUGAUAAAUAUCUACGCUUGUGGCCGUCUGCCAGGUAACCUUCAGCGAUGGAGGUUCGCUGGAGCUCACAAAGGUCUUCCUCAGCGGAGACAGCUUUUUGAACGUUCGAUCUCAAAUCAGGUAGGACUACCCGCUGAACUUAAGCAUAUC
This 643-nucleotide ribosomal RNA is filed under the name Thelephora cf. terrestris SE-2015. Its description in RNAcentral is "eukaryotic LSU rRNA". The stretch from base 221 to 375 matches the Rfam family "5.8S ribosomal RNA". Lineage: Eukaryota; Fungi; Basidiomycota; Agaricomycetes; Thelephorales; Thelephoraceae. The record is from RNAcentral.